ACUCCUACGGGAGGCAGCAGUGGGGAAUUUUCCGCAAUGGGCGAAAGCCUGACGGAGCAACGCCGCGUGAGGGAUGAAGGCCUCUGGGCUGUAAACCUCUUUUCUCAAGGAAGAAGACCUGACGGUACUUGAGGAAUAAGCCACGGCUAAUUCCGUGCCAGCAGCCGCGGUAAUAC
This 176-nucleotide ribosomal RNA is filed under the name uncultured bacterium. Its description in RNAcentral is "partial 16S ribosomal RNA". It matches the Rfam family "Bacterial small subunit ribosomal RNA", at positions 335 to 526 of the family's 1533-position model. The record is from RNAcentral.